RNAcentral lists this ribosomal RNA (460 nucleotides) under uncultured bacterium. RNAcentral's name for it is "partial 16S ribosomal RNA". It matches the Rfam family "Bacterial small subunit ribosomal RNA", at positions 338 to 795 of the family's 1533-position model. The record is from RNAcentral.
CCUACGGGGUGCAGCAGUGAGGAAUAUUGGUCAAUGGCCGGAAGGCUGAACCAGCCAAGCCGCGUGAGGGAGGAAGGCGCAGAGCGUCGCAGACCUCUUUUGCCGGGGGACAUAAUGCCGGACGCGUACGGUCCUGACGGUACCUGACUAAGAAGCCCCGGCUAACUACGGGCCAGCAUCCGCGGUAAUGCGUCUGGGUCAAGCGUUAUCCGGAUUUACUGGGGGUAAAGGGAGCGUAGCCGGGUCAGCAAGGCGGAUGGUCCAGGGCGGGGCCCAACCCCGGGACUGCAUUGGCAACUGUUGAACUGCAGUACAGGAGCGUUCAGCGGAAUUCCUAGUGUAGCGGUGAAAUGCGUAGAUAUUAGGAGGAACACCCGUGGCGAAGGCGGCUUACUGGACUGUAACUGACGUUGCGUCUCGCAAGCGUGGGGAGCAAACAGGAUUAGAUACCCCAGUAGUC